RNAcentral lists this long non-coding RNA (4315 nucleotides) under Sus scrofa (pig). RNAcentral describes it as "lncRNA (ENSSSCG00040060475.1)". Lineage: Eukaryota; Metazoa; Chordata; Mammalia; Artiodactyla; Suidae. The record is from RNAcentral.
AGCAGUUUUAGGCUCAGCAAAACAGAGCAGAAGGAACAGAGAUUUCCCAUAUACAUGUACAACCUCCAUGUUAACAAUAUCCCCAACCAGAGUGAUAUCUUUAUUAAAACUGAUAAACUUACAUUGACAAAUCAUAAUCACUUACAGGCCAUAGUUCACAUUAGGAUUCAGUCUUGGUGUUGUAUAUUCUGUAGGUUUGGACAAAUGCAUAAGAAUAUGUAUUCAUCAUCAUGGUAUCAUACAAAGUAGUUUCACUAACCUAAAAGUUUCUUUACCUACUCACUCCUCCCUUCCUGCUAAACACUGGCAAUGACUAAUCUUUUAAAUUCUGCCUUUUCCAUAAUGUCAUACAGUUGGAAUCAGAAAAUAGAGCUUUUCAGUUUGUCUUCUUUUAUUUAGUGGUAUGCAUUUAAGUUUCCUCUUUAAGUUUUUAAGGAAAUAUCACAAAUAUUUUCUGAAUACAAACUCUGAUCUUUAAAAUUAAUCUUGCCUCUUUCUUCCAAGAGCAGUAAACUUCUAAAAAUAAACACUGAAAGCUCUCAGAACAAAUUUAGAGCUAUUUAGGGAAAACAUUACCAAAUCUGAGUGAAGAUUAUUUAUGGUUAAAAUUAUAUUAGAAACAUAUUUAGAAACAAUGACCAGACUGUUUAGCUUUUCAAUUAUGAUCCCUAAUCCCAUAUGGAAUCCUGAAAUUAUCAAACUUAUUAAAGCAAAUGCAUUAAUUCUCUUCUUUCAUGAUUCAUUAAUUCAAUCAUUUCUUAUUUUAAAAAUGAGGUUAAUAAAAAUCUCAAAAUAUUCCUAAGGAUAUUCUACAUCAGAAUUUUUAAAUUCUUAGAAGAUAAUCUCUCUAGCACUCAUAGAACUUACUAUUUAUGAGUCUGUUUCAACUAUGUGUGAAGAUGCCCGUCCACCCAUCUUGACUACAACCUCUAAGCAUGUAAGAAUCAAGUAAGACAAUAUUUCUCUUCCACAUAUACAGAUCCAUACAUAUUUACUUUGGCUAUGAGUUGUGGGGGGAUAAGACUUGCCCACAGCUGAGAGGGCAACAGUGCUCUCAAGAAAUACAGGAAAUAUUUCCUCAGUGCCCCAGGAAACACAGAAGGUAGGGCUAUCAUCCUAGUAGGCUCAGAGGACAGAGCAUUAUCGAUAUAAGGAGAAUUAAUUUUGAAACUUAAAAUCUACCAGAAUUUGCCCUGUCAGGUUUUGAAUUUGCUUCGAAUACAUAAUUCCUUUUUUUAUCCCAACCUUCUCCCGUUUGCAAUGGAAAUUUCUAUCCUAUGCCUGUACCACCAUAGCUUUUUGGAAGCAGAUAACUUGGCUGGUUUCAAAGGUUCGUGGCUAGAGAGGAAUUCUGCCUCAAGACAAAUCAUACUGAAUCUCAUUCAUGGUUGAUUUUUAGACAUUUAGAUGAACUCUUGGACUUAGAGCUCAUGGUGGAAUGGAUUGAUACAUUGGGGGCUGGUGGGAUGGGGUAGGUAUGUUUUGCAUGAAAGAAGGACAUGAAUUUUGGGAUGGAGGGAAGAAUGUCAUAGGUUGAACUGUGCGCCUGCCAAAAUUCAACUGUUGAAAUCCCAACCUCCAGUCCCACAGAAUAUAACCAUUUUUAGAAAUAAAGUCUUUCAAGAGCUGAUUAAGUUAAAAUGAGGACAUUAGAGUAGAGCUCUCUAAUCCUUUAUGUAGUGUCCUUAUAAAAGACAAGAAGGAUGGGUGGGCACAGAGACAACACUGUGUAAAGUCACAGUAAGAAGAUGACCGUCGGUAAGCCAAGAACAGAGGCCCCAGAAUGAAAUCAACACUGUCAACACUUUUAUCUCACUUAUACUUCUAGACUCUAGAACUGUAAGAAAAAUUUAUUUUGUUUAAGCUACUUUGUGCAUAGCAUUUUAUUAUAGCUACCUAAGUAACUGAUAUGCCUGCCAUUUACACUAUCCUGGAACUACUACUGGAUGAGUAUACAUGCCAUACUCCUUCAGGGACAAACGUGCAAUGGCUCCUUUUCUCAGGGAUUGUGUUUGGUUUUUGUUUGUUUUUUUCUUUUUAGAGCCACACCUGCAGCAUUUGGAAGUUUCUGGGCUAGGGAUUGAAUCAGAGCUGCAGCUGCAGGCCUACGUCACAGCCAAGGCAGCAGUGGAUCUAAGCAGCAUCUGUGACCUGCACCAUCACUCAUAGCAAGGCCAGAUCCUUGACCAACUAAGUGAGGCUAGGGAUUGAACCCACAUCCUCCCAGACACUGUGUCAGGUUCUUAACCUGCUAAGCCACAACAGGCACUCCCUGAUCAUGUUUUUGUUCAGAAGGAGGGUUGAUAGCAUGGGUCCAGCCCCUCUCAUGUCUUAGGAUUCAAGUUACACAGAGGCUGAGAUCAACCAGAUGGGCAAUCAAACAACCAAAUAAUUAUGCCUACAUAACGGAGCCCCAAUAAAAACUCUGACCACCAAACUCAGGUGAUUUCCCUGGUUAGCAAUACUAUGUGUCAUGUCACACAUUAAUGCUGAGAUGGUAACGUGUGCUGACUCCACAGGGAAAGGACAAAGGAAUUUCAAGUAUGGAUCCCUCCCAAACUCUACCUUAUGUAUGUCUUCCUUUGGCUGAUUUUAAUCUGUAUCUUUUGCUGGGUGCAUAACAGAUUUUAGUGAGAUCUAUGAGCCCUCUUAACAAACCAUCAAACCUGAGUAGUUUCUGGAAACCCUCAAAUUUGAAGUUGAUGUCAGAAUUAAAUACAGUCUUGGAGAUGGUGCCCUCAGACACUACCAUAGCAACAUUUCAUCUAAAUGCCCAAAAACAUUAAUCAUGAUUACCUUCAGUGAACCAUAAUACAUAAUCCUAAUUGGCCUGCAGUUCUAAAUUCAGGGUGAUUCUGUCUCUCACAAGAUAUAUGACAGUAUCUGGACACAUUUUUGGUGGUCUCAACUAAGGGAUGCUACUGGAGUCUAGGGAACAGAGGCCAGGGAUGUUUCUAAACAUCCUACAAUGCACAGCACUGCCCCCACAACAAAGGAUUAUCUGAUCCAAAGUGUCAAUGGCAUCAAGUUUGAGAACCCCCUGCAUUAUGUCCUUGAAUCAUGACAUGAAACCCCAAAUCUGAGAUGACAAUUCUGAAAGUAGUAAGGAGACAGCAACUGAAUCCCAAAGGCCAAUGUUCAAAUGUUUGCUCCACUUAAACCACCAUGCUUUGACAACUGGCAAACUUUUAAAUCUCUGGCCCCUCAAUUUCCUAAUUUGUAAAAUGAAACUAACAAUUAAGAUUUACCCCACAGAAUUUUUUAUGGAAGUCUUAAAAUGAGUGAACAAAGUAUUUGGACCAAAGUAAGUACUUGCUGAAACUCUUAUGUCACUUCAUUUUCCUUAUAAAUGAAAGCCAUUUAAAAUAUUUUUUUUCUUGCACUGACUGGAACACUGAUAAUAGCAGGUUGAUAAUUGGUUUUACUUGAUUUGAUGCAAAAUAAAUAGAUGAUAACUCCUUGGUGUCAUAAAUAUCAACUGCCAACAAAUAUUUCUGUAUUUCUAACAAAUAUUUCUAAAUAUUUCUUUCUAUGCAAACUUUGUCUUCUUGGAGUUCCCACCAUGGCACAGUGGGUUAAGAAUCUGACUGCCCCAGCAUGGGUUGCUGCAGAGGUGUGGGUUCGAUCCUGCAGCAUGACACAGUGGGUUAAUGGCUCUUCGGCUUUAAUUCCUGGCCCGGGGACUUUCAUAUGCCACGGUUGCAGCCAUAAAAUUAAAAAACAAAAGCAAAAAACUGCCUCUCUGCCCAUGAUUUUUUUUCUCUUUCCUUUCAUCAUCAGUACAAGUGAUAGCUUUUUUGUGUGCUCCCUCUCUACCAAGAAACCAAGUUUAUAUCAUACAGCAGAGUUACUUUAGAGGCAAUGACAAAGAAAAUAAACCAAGCAAUCCAAUCCAGUGCUAGGCAGACAUCUGAACAAAAGCACCUGUUAAAUCCAACCACCAGGUAAGCAACCUCCUCCUACAUAACCAUCUCCCAGAAAAUUACAAAUUGCCCAAUACUUGAGAUCAUUAAGGGCACACCACAGACUUGUGCAUGUUAAACCUGAGAACUUAAAAGAUUUAAUUUGUUUCUCUCUGUCUCUGUGUCUUCUACCACCCUCUCUGCUAAAGCAAAUUCCUCAAAAAAAAAAAAAAAAAGGCAUAGCUUUUCCCUUUCAGGCCCCCAAACCUAUCAUUACACCUGGCAUGCUAUAUAUGUUAACUCCUAUCUCUUGGAUGGAUGAGAGAACAAAUAGAUUGAUGGCCAAAUAGAUGAAGUAUAAGAGCAAAUGGAGGAACAAACAAAAGAACAAAUAAAUGAAUAAUUAAAAUGUA